UCCGGCUUAUCACCGGCAGUCCCUUUAGAGUGCCCAACUAAAUGCUGGCAACAUGCGACGAGGGUUGCGCUCGUUGCGGGACUUAACCCAACACCUCACGGCACGAGCUGACGACAGCCAUGCACCACCUGUGAAGGUGCCCCGAAGGGAGACCGUGUUUCCACGGCUGUCACCUACAUGUCAAGCCCAGGUAAGGUUCUUCGCGUUGCGUCGAAUUGAACCACAUGCUCCGCUGCUUGUGCGGGUCCCCGUCAAUUCCUUUGAGUUUUAGCCUUGCGGCCGUACUCCCCAGGCGGGGAACUUAAUGCGUUAGCUUCGGUACGGACGGAGUCGACACCGCCCACACCUAGUUCCCAUCGUUUACGGCGUGGACUAC
This 376-nucleotide unclassified non-coding RNA is filed under the name uncultured Thermoleophilia bacterium. RNAcentral describes it as "contains 16S-23S intergenic spacer region". The record is from RNAcentral. Lineage: Bacteria; Bacillati; Actinomycetota; Thermoleophilia.